CCGGGGACUCGCUGCCGUCGUCGCCUGCCUCGUCGGCGAGGCCGCGUACGACCGCCUCCACGGCUCCUCCGGCCAGCGAGCUUCCUGCGGUAAGUCAGAGAGCCCCUCUCCCCGGCCAGGGAAUCAUCUCCCACGCCUCCUUUAUUUCCCCUUCCUGUAGCUGAAUGAGAUGGCGCGCCUGUCAAGAUGUUGAGAUCUUGCAGCCGAUGUGUGCGGUUUUAGCAUACAGAUUUUGACGUUUAGGGACUCGCCCUCGGUAAAGUUUGAUGCUUGCUCAUUCAUAAUGCUUAGUUUGCUUGGUUUAGAGGCGACCGCGAGAGCUUAUUUUGCUUUGCCUAUGUUAUUAAUGGCUCUGAAACUGGCUAGCCCUUUUCCGCUCGCUAAAGAUACAGAGAAUGUUUUGUUCAGAGUAGAAAUUCCCCAAGUUGUGUGCUUUGAUGAUUAUCUACUUAUCCUAGUGGUCUGCCAAAGUACGUGAGAUUCUCUUAUGCUUUUGGCAGAAAAAUCCAUCGCGUCGUGCUGAUGGUUGGGUUGUGUUAGGAACUUAGGAUCAGUUGUCUCUGCCAACCCUCAUUUCAGAUUCAGCUUUGUAUGUUGAACUUCCAAAGGCCACAAUGAAACCAAUGCUAAUAACUUUGCCUUAUGGUUGUAUAAUUGUAUUGCUCCUAAACUGGCACGUGGCGGUUGUUUUGCAGGUCUUGAUGCACACUGCACCUGAACUUGAUACAUGAGAUAUCUCUACACACGACACCUGAAAAGAAAAGAAACCAACAAUGCAAGACUUAUUCUUGAUCAGGUAAUACUAGUUGCUCAUAAGUGAGACAGCAGAAUAAAGUAGAAGCUACCGGAUCCACACCUGCUAAUAGAACCUCUUCUUCUUUACACCUGAAAAAAAGAAAAGGAAAAGUAAGGAUACGUGGUUGCAAUAGGAAGCCCAAGUGAUUUCAUUCAUAUACAUUGAGAUACACAAGUAACUACUUUUUUCUAUUUUAGUUUCUACGGCCACCGUUAAGGAUAGUCUCGACGAUGAAUAAUUCUUACUUUUCCCGGCAACACCCUCUUCCUGUUUUAAGAAUGUGGAUUGUGUUUUGAAGUCGAAGCAUAUGAUUGAGUAUGAAAACCAGAUCGAUGCUUUCAGAAGUCACCGGGAAUUUGCUCUAGUUUGAGCUCAUCGUUUUUCUAUAUUUUCAAUUUCCUAAGGAAUGAUUGCAAGUCUUGCGGUGAUAUCCAUGGAAUGAUAUUUUAAAUUUUCUAUAUUUUAAGCUUAUCGUUUCUUUAUUUUGCGGGGCAAGAAAUAAGAGUUAAAGCCAUGCAUGGAUACCGCUGUAGGACUUGCAAUCAUUCCUUAGGAUAAUCAAAAUAUAGAAAAAUGGUAAGCUUGAACUAGAGCAAAUCCUAGUGACUUUUGGGAGCAUUAUGCCUCCAAUCGAUCUAGUUUUCACACACAACAUAUACUCUAUCUUCAUGACCUAAUCCGCAUUCUCGAAAUAGGAAGAUGGUAUUACUGGAAAAAUAGGAAUUGCUCAUCGUGGAGGCUACCCUCCAUGGUGAUUGUAGAAACUAAAAUAGAAAGCAGUAGUUACUCAUUUAUCUCAAUGUAAAUGAACGAAGUAAAGUCUUCCUACAGCUACCACCCGUUCUUAGUUAUUUUCGUUUCUUUUAGGUUCUAAAAUAGAUGUUUCUAUGUAGGCUCGAAUCAGGUAGUUUUACCUCUGUUUUGUUGUCUCACUUAUGAGUAGCCGGUACUACAGAAUCAAGAGAUAAGCAUUGCUUUGUCAGGUGUGGCAUGUAGAGAUAUCUCAUGUGUAGCAAGUUCAAGCGUGGCUGAGCAAGCUUUCCACCUCCACAAAGACCUUUUCUAUUACCGUUUGCAGUUCCAAUCUCUUACUACCAUUCACGGACCGAAAGAUGGCAAGUGAAGCAGGCCACGCAGCCUGCUUUUCCCAGCUGUAGGAUCGGCCGGCCGGACGGUUCAGAUCGUGUAAAUCUUGAGUUUUUUUUCAAAAAGACCCUUCUAUGUACUAAAAAUUAACCUGCAGUCAGAGUAGUUCAUAUCUUUUUUUCACAAUCACCCUCAAGCUUCACUUAAAUCAACCCGCAGUCCGAGGAUCCCUCUCAGUUUUGUUUACGAAAACUCCCUCAGAUUUUUCUGAAAUCAACCUGCAGUCCGUCUUUGGUUAUUUCAAAAAAGAACCUCAAAUUUCUACGAAAUAAACCCGCAAACCACCCAUCCCUUCGUUAAUUUACAAAAUAGACCACAUUUACUCAUAAAAUGAAUCCACAGUUUGUUGUUUUCACUGCUUCACAAAAGUAAUCUCAUUUUUGCAUAAAAUUAGCCAAUGCUUCACCUAAUGGCACGUUGUUCUUCAAAAAGGAACCUCCAUAUCUUAUAGAACCAACCCAUAGCAAUCUAAGACUCUAUUUAAUUCUUGAAUUUAUAAGAAAUCACUAGAAGGUACGACGACACUAAAAUUAAAAAAAAUUAUGUUACAACAGUUGGUAAAUCACAAUGUUUAAUUUGUAUUACAUUGUGGAACAUGAAUAAGUGAAUAAAGCGCUUUAGAAAAUAUUACACGCACCCCUUCAUUUCCCAAAAUAUUGAUAUUGCCAUGUACUCUUUGAACCAAAAUAAAAGUAGCUUCUUCUAUGGAUCAACAGUUUAUAGACAACCUACAACAGAGUUCCCAUCGACUCCUUCACUGGAUGAUUCGUCAUUUCAACGUAUUUGAUAAAUAAAUCCAUUUAAACAUCAAUAAAUCUAAGCGGUUAACAAAUGCAAGCAUGGGUAUCUGAUAAAACUAAAAUAUUUGCGUUACUUAUCUAACUUCUAAUCU
RNAcentral lists this long non-coding RNA (2834 nucleotides) under Panicum hallii. RNAcentral describes it as "long non-coding RNA (PHAL_LNC000725)". Lineage: Eukaryota; Viridiplantae; Streptophyta; Magnoliopsida; Poales; Poaceae. The record is from RNAcentral.